This 1164-nucleotide long non-coding RNA is filed under the name Canis lupus familiaris (dog). Its description in RNAcentral is "lncRNA (ENSCAFG00040001283.1)". Lineage: Eukaryota; Metazoa; Chordata; Mammalia; Carnivora; Canidae. The record is from RNAcentral.
ACAUACACACAGACACACGGAAGCUCGGCUCUGUGCCACCUAAGCCAACAGGCGCCCGGGGUGGGGGGGCCUCCCUCGCCCUCCCUGUCCCCUGGGCUCCUCCGGCCGAGCCUCUGCCGUGCGCACAGCGGCUCUGCACCUGCUCCGCGUUACAGCGCAUCAGGGACUAGAUGUUUGUUCCUGGCGGGGAUUAGCACUGAGCUUACGAUACUUAACAAAAGCCAGACUUCACCCCACUGGGUCUCACCCGGAGUGGCACCAGCCUUCCCAACCCUUCUGGGAGGGGUGGCGGGGUGGGCGACCUGGGCGAGCUGCCAACCCACGUGGGCCCUGGGGUGGGGGCCCUGGUGAGAACAGAACCACCAGCCUGUAGGUUCCGAAUCCUUCUCCACACCUCGCCAUCCAGAAAGUGAGGGUGGUGCGUGAACCUUGUCUGAGGCCGGCUCCUCACUUCCAGAACGUUCUUCUGGCUGGCCCACCCUGUUGCAUUAGUUUCUGAUGCUGCAAAAUAAAUGAGUACAAAGUCAGAGGCUUGAGACAGCGCCCACUUACCACCCCUCUGUGUCCAUGAGUCGGGAGUGGGGAGUCUCUCCCACCGCGGUACCAGGGUCCCUCCCAAGCUCCCCUGCUUGUUGACGGGAUUCGUCUCCUUGCAUUGGUGAGGCUGAAGCCCCUGGUUUUGGGGUGGCUAGGCCGGGACCCCUGUCAGCUCUGGGAGGCAGCCCAUGCUCCCUCCGCCGGGGCACCGCAGCCGCCCAUAGCACACUAUCUGCUUUGUGCCCCACCAGCAAACGAGUGGCUCUGCUUUCCUGCCUUCCUGACCCCCCAUUAUGACCUAUAGGUGUCCUCCCAAAUUCCUAUGUUGACAUGCUGAGCCCCCAGGUGACCGCAUUAGGGACAGGGCCCCUGGGGCUGUAAGAUAGUGAGAGUAGAGGCCCGGGAACCUCCUAAGAAGAGACGCAGAGCUGCCUCCUGUCUCUGCUGGGGGGGAGGGGGGGUGCGGAACAGGCGUCUGGCCGCUGGGAAGCGGGAAGCGGGAAGCGGCCCAUCACACAGCAGGCCUGUGGAGCGCCGAUCCUGCAUCCUGCAGCCCCGCACGGGAGAAAUGAACGUGUGCGGCAUGUGCUGUGCUCACCUGGGACACUACCCACCCCCUCCCCGGGU